UACGGGAGGCAGCAGGGGGAAUAUUGCACAAUGGGCGAAAGCCUGAUGCAGCUAUGCCGCGUGUAUGAAGAAGGCCUUAGGGUUGUAAAGUACUUUCAUCGGGGAGGAAAAAACAAAACUAAUAAUUUUAUUUCUUGACGUUACCCGAAAAAGAAGCACCGGCUAACUCCGUGCCAGCAGCCGCGGUAAUACGGAGGGUGCUAGCGUUAAUCAGAAUUACUGGGCGUAAAGAGCACGUAGGUGGUUUUUUUAAAGUCAGAUGUGAAAUCCCUGGGCUUAACCUGGAACUGCAUUUUGAAACUGAAAUACUAGAGUAUCGUAGAGGGAGGUAGAAUUCUAGGUGUAGCGGUGAAAUGCGUAGAUAUCUGGAGGAAUACCUGUGGCGAAAGCGGCCUCCUAAACGAAUACUGACACUGAGGGUGCGAAAGCGUGGGGAGCAAACAGGGAUUAGAUACC
RNAcentral lists this ribosomal RNA (456 nucleotides) under uncultured bacterium. Its description in RNAcentral is "bacterial SSU rRNA". It matches the Rfam family "Bacterial small subunit ribosomal RNA", at positions 340 to 786 of the family's 1533-position model. The record is from RNAcentral.